UCGCUGACGAGUGGCGGACGGGUGAGUAAUGCUUGGGAACUUGCCUUUGCGAGGGGGAUAACAGUUGGAAACGACUGCUAAUACCGCAUAAUGUCUACGGACCAAACGGGGCUUAGGCUCCGGCGCAAAGAGAGGCCCAAGUGAGAUUAGCUAGUUGGUAAGGUAAAGGCUUACCAAGGCAACGAUCUCUAGCUGUUCUGAGAGGAAGAUCAGCCACACUGGAACUGAGACACGGUCCAGACUCCUACGGGAGGCAGCAGUGGGGAAUAUUGCACAAUGGGGGAAACCCUGAUGCAGCCAUGCCGCGUGUGUGAAGAAGGCCUUCGGGUUGUAAAGCACUUUCAGUUGUGAGGAAAAGUUAGUAGUUAAUACCUGCUAGCCGUGACGUUAACAACAGAAGAAGCACCGGCUAACUCCGUGCCAGCAGCCGCGGUAAUACGGAGGGUGCGAGCGUUAAUCGGAAUUACUGGGCGUAAAGCGCACGCAGGCGGUUUGUUAAGCUAGAUGUGAAAGCCCCGGGCUCAACCUGGGAUGGUCAUUUAGAACUGGCAGACUAGAGUCUUGGAGAGGGGAGUGGAAUUCCAGGUGUAGCGGUGAAAUGCGUAGAUAUCUGGAGGAACAUCAGUGGCGAAGGCGACUCCCUGGCCAAAGACUGACGCUCAUGUGCGAAAGUGUGGGUAGCGAACAGGAUUAGAUACCCUGGUAGUCCACACCGUAAACGCUGUCUACUAGCUGUUUGUGACUUUAAGUCGUGAGUAGCGAAGCUAACGCG
Molecule: ribosomal RNA, 772 nt
Filed under: Alteromonas sp. N6(2010)
Lineage: Bacteria; Pseudomonadati; Pseudomonadota; Gammaproteobacteria; Alteromonadales; Alteromonadaceae
Description: bacterial SSU rRNA
Rfam family: Bacterial small subunit ribosomal RNA
Source: RNAcentral